AUGCGGUCAUAGUUCAUUAUCAUAUUAGUAAGACCGACCAGUUCAAAAACUCCAUCUGUGUGGGUACUGUGCACAGUAGACAGGAAUCACUACAGGACUGAUCACUAUAACCCAGGAUUUAAAUCAUAACUCCCCAGCAAGAGGGAAUAGUUUAUGCACAGAUAAACCCGUCACAUAACAAACGGAAGGAAUCUGUGCCGUACCGAACCG
Molecule: long non-coding RNA, 210 nt
Filed under: Mytilus galloprovincialis (Mediterranean mussel)
Lineage: Eukaryota; Metazoa; Mollusca; Bivalvia; Mytilida; Mytilidae
Source: RNAcentral